Juglans microcarpa x Juglans regia is the source of this 148-nucleotide long non-coding RNA. RefSeq lists it as uncharacterized. Lineage: Eukaryota; Viridiplantae; Streptophyta; Magnoliopsida; Fagales; Juglandaceae. The transcript is spliced from 3 exons. The record is from RefSeq and is a predicted model, not a curated record.
AAAAGACGUAUAAAUGAGAAUGUGCUAGUAACGGGCUCCUCCGACUUGGAGUAGGUUGUAGUUGUGAAUUGUGAUGUGGGCCACCGAUAUUGAGCGUAUGGUUCACGCCAAACUCCAGUUUCUCUGGUAAGAUAGUUUCAGAAUGCUC